CUACGGGGUGCAGCAGGCGCGAAAACUUUACAAUGCCGGCAACGGCGAUAAGGGGACCUCGAGUGCCAGGUUACAAAUCUGGCUGUCGUGAUGCCUAAAAAGCAUUGCAUAGCAAGGGCCGGGCAAGACCGGUGCCAGCCGCCGCGGUAACACCGGCGGCUCGAGUGGUAACCGUUAUUAUUGGGUCUAAAGGGUCUGUAGCCGGCCGGAUAAGUCUCUUGAGAAAUCCAGCAGCUCAACUGUUGGGCUUUCAGGAGAUACUGUUCGGCUCGAGGCCGGGAGAGGUGAGAGGUACUUCAGGGGUAGGGGUGAAAUCUUGUAAUCCUUGAAGGACCACCAGUGGCGAAGGCGUCUCACCAGAACGGACCUGACGGCAAGGGACGAAAGCUAGGGGCACGAACCGGAUUAGAUACCCGGGUAGUCCUAGCCGUAAACGAUACUCGCUAGGUGUCGGCCACGGUGCGACCGUUGUCGGUGCCGUAGGGAAGCCGUGAAGCGAGC
Molecule: ribosomal RNA, 501 nt
Filed under: uncultured archaeon
Lineage: Archaea
Description: bacterial SSU rRNA
Rfam family: Archaeal small subunit ribosomal RNA
Source: RNAcentral